UGCAAGUCGAACGGUGAACACGGAGCUUGCUCUGUGGGAUCAGUGGCGAACGGGUGAGUAACACGUGAGCAACCUGCCCCAGACUCUGGGAUAAGCACUGGAAACGGUGUCUAAUACCGGAUACGAGUAGCGAAGGCAUCUUCAGCUACUGGAAAGAACUUCGGUCUGGGAUGGGCUCGCGGCCUAUCAGCUUGUUGGUGAGGUAAUGGCUCACCAAGGCGUCGACGGGUAGCCGGCCUGAGAGGGUGACCGGCCACACUGGGACUGAGACACGGCCCAGACUCCUACGGGAGGCAGCAGUGGGGAAUAUUGCACAAUGGGCGAAAGCCUGAUGCAGCAACGCCGCGUGAGGGACGACGGCCUUCGGGUUGUAAACCUCUUUUAGCAGGGAAGAAGCGAAAGUGACGGUACCUGCAGAAAAAGCACCGGCUAACUACGUGCCAGCAGCCGCGGUAAUACGUAGGGUGCAAGCGUUAUCCGGAAUUAUUGGGCGUAAAGAGCUCGUAGGCGGUUUGUCGCGUCUGCUGUGAAAACCCGAGGCUCAACCUCGGGCCUGCAGUGGGUACGGGCAGACUAGAGUGCGGUAGGGGAGAUUGGAAUUCCUGGUGUAGCGGUGGAAUGCGCAGAUAUCAGGAGGAACACCGAUGGCGAAGGCAGAUCUCUGGGCCGUAACUGACGCUGAGGAGCGAAAGGGUGGGGAGCAAACAGGCUUAGAUACCCUGGUAGUCCACCCCGUAAACGUUGGGAACUAGUUGUGGGGUCCAUUCCACGGAUUCCGUG
This 780-nucleotide ribosomal RNA is filed under the name Microbacterium sp. CR-58. Its description in RNAcentral is "bacterial SSU rRNA". It matches the Rfam family "Bacterial small subunit ribosomal RNA", at positions 56 to 845 of the family's 1533-position model. The record is from RNAcentral. Lineage: Bacteria; Bacillati; Actinomycetota; Actinomycetes; Micrococcales; Microbacteriaceae.